UACAGAGGGUGCGAGCGUUAAUCGGAAUUACUGGGCGUAAAGCGCGCGUAGGCGGUUUUGUAAGUCGGGUGUGAAAUCCCUAGGCUCAACCUGGGAACUGCAUUCGAGACUGCAUGACUGGAGUAUGGGAGAGGACAGCGGAAUUUCCGGUGUAGCGGUGAAAUGCGUAGAUAUCGGAAGGAACAUCAGUGGCGAAAGCGGCUGUCUGGCCCAAUACUGACGCUCAUGUGCGAAAGCGUGGGGAGCAAAC
This 250-nucleotide ribosomal RNA is filed under the name uncultured bacterium. RNAcentral describes it as "partial 16S ribosomal RNA". It matches the Rfam family "Bacterial small subunit ribosomal RNA", at positions 524 to 773 of the family's 1533-position model. The record is from RNAcentral.